UGGGGAAUAUUGGGCAAUGGGCGCAAGCCUGACCCAGCAACGCCGCGUGAAGGAAGAAGGCUUUCGGGUUGUAAACUUCUUUUCUGAGGGACGAUAGUGACGGUACCUCAGGAAUAAGCCACGGCUAACUACGUGCCAGCAGCCGCGGUAAUACGUAGGUGGCAAGCGUUAUCCGGAUUUACUGGGUGUAAAGGGCGUGUAGGCGGGAUGGUAAGUCAGAUGUGAAAACUAUGGGCUCAACCCAUAGCCUGCAUUUGAAACUAUCGUUCUUGAGUGUUGGAGAGGCAGGCGGAAUUCCGUGUG
This 303-nucleotide ribosomal RNA is filed under the name uncultured bacterium. RNAcentral describes it as "bacterial SSU rRNA". It matches the Rfam family "Bacterial small subunit ribosomal RNA", at positions 355 to 675 of the family's 1533-position model. The record is from RNAcentral.